Molecule: ribosomal RNA, 462 nt
Filed under: Arthrobacter sp. ET26
Lineage: Bacteria; Bacillati; Actinomycetota; Actinomycetes; Micrococcales; Micrococcaceae
Description: bacterial SSU rRNA
Rfam family: Bacterial small subunit ribosomal RNA
Source: RNAcentral
CCUGGCUCAGGAUGAACGCUGGCGGCGUGCUUAACACAUGCAAGUCGAACGAUGAACCUCACUUGUGGGGGGAUUAGUGGCGAACGGGUGAGUAACACGUGAGUAACCUGCCCUUGACUCUGGGAUAAGCCUGGGAAACUGGGUCUAAUACCGGAUAUGACUGAUCAUCGCAUGGUGGUUGGUGGAAAGCUUUUGCGGUUUUGGAUGGACUCGCGGCCUAUCAGCUUGUUGGUGGGGUAAUGGCCUACCAAGGCGACGACGGGUAGCCGGCCUGAGAGGGUGACCGGCCACACUGGGACUGAGACACGGCCCAGACUCCUACGGGAGGCAGCAGUGGGGAAUAUUGCACAAUGGGCGGAAGCCUGAUGCAGCGACGCCGCGUGAGGGAUGACGGCCUUCGGGUUGUAAACCUCUUUCAGUAGGGAAGAAGCGUAAGUGACGGACCUGCAGAAGAGCGCCGCA